This 2000-nucleotide ribosomal RNA is filed under the name human gut metagenome. Its description in RNAcentral is "bacterial LSU rRNA". It matches the Rfam family "Bacterial large subunit ribosomal RNA", at positions 479 to 2499 of the family's 2925-position model. The record is from RNAcentral.
AGUGACCGAUAGUGAACCAGUACCGUGAGGGAAAGGUGAAAAGAACCCCGGGAGGGGAGUGAAAGAGAACCUGAAACCAUAUGCCUACAAGAAGUCAGAGCCCGUUAAAGGGUGAUGGCGUGCCUUUUGUAGAAUGAACCGGCGAGUUACUGUAUGGAGCGAGGUUAAGCAGGAUAUGCGGAGCCGAAGCGAAAGCGAGUCUUAAGAGGGCGCGAGUUGCAUGCAGUAGACCCGAAACCGGGUGAUCUAGCCAUGACCAGGUUGAAGUUGGGGUAAAACCCGAUGGAGGACCGAACCGACCCCCGUUGAAACGUUGGCGGAUGAGUUGUGGCUAGGGGUGAAAUUCCAAUCGAACCCGGAGAUAGCUGGUUCUCCCCGAAAUAGCUUUAGGGCUAGCGUCGAGAGAAGAGUUGCGUGAAGGUAGAGCACUGAAUAUGUGAUGGCCCCAUCUCGGGGUACUGAGCAUAAUCAAACUGCGAAUGUCACGAGAACAUGCUCGGCAGUCAGACAGCGGGUGAUAAGGUCCGUUGUCAAGAGGGAAACAGCCCAGACCAUCAGCUAAGGUCCCAAAAUGUAUGCUAAGUGGAAAAGGAUGUGGAGAUGUACAGACAACUAGGAGGUUGGCUCAGAAGCAGCCAUCCUUUAAAGAGUGCGUAACAGCUCACUAGUCGAAUGACUCUGCGCCGAUAAUUUACCGGGGCUAAGCAUACUACCGAAGCUAUGGAUCCCAAGGGAUGGUAGGGGAGCGUUCCAUGAACGGAGAAGUACGACCGAAAGGACGUGUGGAGAUCAUGGAAGAGAGAAUGCCGGUGUGAGUAGCGGAACGUGGGUGAGAAUCCCACGCACCGAAAACCCAAGGUUUCCAGAGGAAGGUUCGUCCGCUCUGGGUAAGUCGGGACCUAAGGCGAGGCCGAAAGGCGUAGUCGAUGGACAACAGGUAGAGAUUCCUGUACCCGUAUAUAUGUGAAGGAAUGACGGAGAGAGGAAGCUGCAGCCAGCGGCUGGAAGAGCUGGUGCAAGCGAGAUAUCGGGAUGGCAGGCAAAUCCACCAUCCGAAACGAGAAGGCGUGAAGCGUACGGAAAGCUACGGCGAGUACGGAAGGCAGUGGAGGAACUUCCAAGAAAAGUUUCUAACGUUAAGUAUAUAUGGCCCGUACCGAAAAUGGACACACAUGGGUGAGGAGAGAAUCCUAAGGUGAGCGAGAGAACUAUAGCUAAGGAACUCUGCAAAAUGACUCCGUAACUUAGGGAGAAGGAGUGCUCAUAGAGAUAUGAGCCGCAGUGAAACGGCCCAAGCGACUGUUUACCAAAAACACAGCUCUCUGCUAAGCCGCAAGGCGAAGUAUAGGGGGUGACGCCUGCCCGGUGCUGGAAGGUUAAGGGGAGGGGUUAACGCAAGUGAAGCCCUGAACUGAAGCCCCAGUAAACGGCGGCCGUAACUAUAACGGUCCUAAGGUAGCGAAAUUCCUUGUCAGGUAAGUUCUGACCCGCACGAAAGGCGUAACGAUUUGGGCGCUGUCUCAGCUGUAGACUCGGUGAAGUCUUAGUACCUGUGAAGAUGCAGGUUACCCGCGACUAGACGGAAAGACCCCAUGGAGCUUCACUGCAGGUUGAUAUUGGGAUUUGAUGCAGCAUGUACAGGAUAGGUAGGAGGCAAAGAGAUGGAUACGCCAGUAUUCAAGGAGCCGCUGUUGGGAUACUACCCCUGUUGUAUUGGAUUUCUAACCGGACGACGUAGAGCCGUUGACGGGACAGUGUCAGUCGGGCAGUUUGACUGGGGCGGUCGCCUCCCAAAGAGUAACGGAGGCGCCCAAAGAUACCCUCAGCUUGGAUGGAAACCAAGCGCAGAGUGCAAAGGCAAAAGGGUGUUUGACUGCGAGACCCACAAGUCGAGCAGGGACGAAAGUCGGGCUUAGUGAUCCGGCGGUGCUGAAUGGAAAGGCCGUCGCUCAACGGAUAAAAGCUACCCUGGGGAUAACAGGCUGAUCUCCCCCAAGAGU